UACGGAAGGCGCAGUGGGGAAUAUUGCACAAUGGGCGCAAGCCUGAUGCAGCCAUGCCGCGUGUAUGAAGAAGGCCUUCGGGUUGUAAAGUACUUUCAGUCGUGAGGAAGGUGUUAAGGUUAAUAACCUUAGCAAUUGACGUUAGCGACAGAAGAAGCACCGGCUAACUCCGUGCCAGCAGCCGCGGUAAUACGGAGGGUGCGAGCGUUAAUCGGAAUUACUGGGCGUAAAGGGCACGCAGGCGGUUAAUUAAGUUGGAUGUGAAAUCCCCGGGCUAACCUGGGAAUGGCAUUCAAGACUGGUUAGCUAGAGUCUUGUAGAGGGGGUAGAAUUCCAUGUGUAGCGGUGAAAUGCGUAGAGAUGUGGAGGAAUACCGGUGGCGAAGGCGGCCCCUGGACAAAGACUGACGCUCAUGUGCGAAAGCGUGGGGAGCAAACAGGGAUUAGAUACC
This 451-nucleotide ribosomal RNA is filed under the name uncultured bacterium. RNAcentral describes it as "bacterial SSU rRNA". It matches the Rfam family "Bacterial small subunit ribosomal RNA", at positions 340 to 786 of the family's 1533-position model. The record is from RNAcentral.